CAGCCGCCACGUGCCCAAUAAAAGCAGGUGACGACACCCUGGGCCCGAAAGAAGGGAAGGGCCCCGCCUUCGGGAAGGUCACACGCCCCGCCAAGUCCCGCCCUCACGUGACCGCGGCGCCAGUCCUCGCCCGUCACUACCCUCAGCUGGGAGCGGAGGCUGACGCCCAAUCCGUGCGCUGCCAGCCGGCGCCGGGCGGGGGCCACGGAGGCGUUCAGGGUUCGGGAAGAGAAAAAUCUCCAUCUAAGGAGAAGUAAGGGAGGCGGAAGACAACGAAGACACUUGUCUAACCUGCCCCCCCCCCUAGACCGCAAGCGCCCACGGAAGCAGAGAGCCCCAUUCCAAGGCGCCUCGGCAGUGUCUGGCACACAGUAGGUGCUCAAUAAGUUGACGGGCGACUACCCCUCGGACGCUGCCGGAAGCCGAGUUGACCCCGUCGUCCUUGCCACCAGCCCCUGGACUCCCCAUUCGCCCUCCCACUGUGUCACGGAAAAGCGCGCUCGUUCUGCAGCUGGCGAGCCAACGCUUGCAAGCCUAGCUGCCCGCCCCCGGGCGGACUCCGCAAGCGCUUCGUCCCCACCUGCGUGGGUGCGGACAAAGACCCAAGCCCACUCCCCGCGCCCCCCCGCCGCCGGGCAGGAAGUGGGUCCUACGGCUCACUCUAUUGGCUCCUGUAAUGACGGAUGGGAGCGCCAGCCAACCGCAGCCUGGGCGAGGCGCAUGCGUACACAAGAGAUUGCGCCCCUAGAUGGGGAAAAAACCAGCCCCGCGAGCCGAUUUUGGCUGGGUCUCGCCAGAGCCGGCAGGAGGCGCGCGUGCGUGGAUCUAACCGGUCCCUCCCUGGCCAAUUUGCGGGGCCGAGAGCGCCCUCUGGCCUCUUGGCUGGGGUCCCAGACGUCUAGCCUCCGUCAACACUACGUCUGACCCGGCGCUGCCUGGAGGGUCCCGAGGCAUCGACGAGUCGCGGUCCCCGCCCUCAGCGAGGACACGACCGUCCCCCCUCAAACAGCCAGAGAGCCGUGAGCCCUCUGGGAGCCGUGGGCCGACAGUAACGUGAAUGUUAAGUUGAGGGUGAUGUUUCUCAGCUUACCAAGAGUUACCACCCAUGCUCUCUGGGAGUUCCUCCCCAAACCCCGUGUUAGAGAAGCGGAGGCUCGGGAGGGCCAAGAGACUAGGCUGAGGCGCCUGCCUGGGAGGGUGUAACCGGAACCGAACCCUGGAUAAGCUGCCCGCCUGCUCUCCGAGGAGGCUGUUUAGUUGAGGUGAUGGUACUUCAGGGAGAGGAAAAGUGAAGGCACAGUUUCAGCCCUCUCCCCCCUCCCUUUUUAUAAAUAGACAAUGAGUGCUAAGGACGUUCAGAGCAGGAAAGAACUUUGGGCUCUUGUGAGCUGAAAAGGCUGCGUGAAGAAGCUUGAGGCUUCAAGUUGAUCCCCAGAACAACCCUUGAAGAUGUGGACUCCGUGUUAGAGAUGAAGAGACGCAGCUGGAAGUUACUUCAGGCCAGUGAACAGAGACAGGAAAGGCUGAAAGACAGAAGGCCGGUGGGGAGCCCUCUGCAGCGAAACCUCCAGUGUGUCAAGCACUGUUUCUGAAACAGAGGGACAGGCAGCAUUUGUUGAGUGGUGAGCGACUGGACCUACUUACUAAUCAGGACUUACCCCCAUUUUACUCUGUGUGCCUGUGCAGGAUGGAAGUCAGUCUCUGAGAGAAGGGUGCCAACUUGGGCCAGUGAAGCAACGUUCUCCACAACUAGACUGAAGAACAAAACAACAACUUGUCUGU
Hipposideros armiger (great roundleaf bat) is the source of this 1782-nucleotide long non-coding RNA. RefSeq lists it as uncharacterized. The transcript is spliced from 3 exons. The record is from RefSeq and is a predicted model, not a curated record. Lineage: Eukaryota; Metazoa; Chordata; Mammalia; Chiroptera; Hipposideridae.